Molecule: long non-coding RNA, 477 nt
Organism: Grammomys surdaster
Lineage: Eukaryota; Metazoa; Chordata; Mammalia; Rodentia; Muridae
Exons: 2
Source: RefSeq, a predicted model, not a curated record
GCUGUCUAUGGGAGUGACUAAUGUCUUGGUUUUUAGACUACUACUUCCAAGACUGGGAAUUGACAUUCUCCCUCUCUGUCUCAUCUCCCUAUGCCCAAACCCUUCUGGAAAUCUUCCUGCAAGGCUCCAGAUGAAAAAGGAAGGAGAUUCCUGGGGACCUCUACUGUGUGCUGGAGUAGCUCAUGCCAUUUAUCUCAUGUACAUGGAAAAGGAAAUCCCCUUAUAAUCUUCACCUGAAUCUCCUCAUAUGUGCCCUGGAUUAAUACAGUCAUAAAACCUAAGUAGCUGAUAAAUCUGACCAGCCUGAGACAGACUCUCCAAGCCUGAGUUCUUCUGGUACCCCUUGAGUUCAACACAGCAGGUUCCUAUCAUGACCCCAUACUGUCCCCACCUGUCCUUAAAGAGGAUCUCAAAGAUACACAAGUCGGUGAUGAUUGUUUCCUGUAAAGCGUCUCAAUAAAAACAUAACCUCCAGCA